UGAAGAAUUUGUCCAACGGCGGGGGAUAGCCGGCCCAACGGCCGGGUAAUACCGCGUACGACCCUCGGGGGGCAUCCCCUGAAGGUGAAAGCCGCAAGGCGCCGAUGGAGAACUUCGCGGCCUAUCAGCUAGUUGGUGAGGUCAUGGCUCACCAAGGCGACGACGGGUAGCUGGUCCGAGAGGAUGACCAGCCACAUUGGGACUGAGACACGGCCCAGACUCCUACGGGAGGCAG
This 235-nucleotide ribosomal RNA is filed under the name uncultured bacterium. RNAcentral describes it as "partial 16S ribosomal RNA". It matches the Rfam family "Bacterial small subunit ribosomal RNA", at positions 118 to 351 of the family's 1533-position model. The record is from RNAcentral.